CUUCCAUGGUACAAUAUCUUGUUAUUCUUGCCUUUCAGGAUCUUUUAUCUCAGAGCUGGUGAAGAGAGCAAAAAAAGGGCGGGGAAAGGAAGUGGAGUGAUCGGCUAAAGAGAGCAAGAAAAUCCAAGUGAAACUUUGGCCGUUCAGGUACCCCAAAUUCUUCUGGAAUUUGCUCAAGCAAGGCAUCAUGGUGUGCAGUCACCCUUUGAAGGAGCAUUUGAUGCACAGGGCCUCUCUGGGCCACCAUGGUUUGAUGUGGUGAAGACAGAUGACCCCCCACACACCCCAAUGCAGAAGGGAGAAUAUCAUUGCCCAAGUCCUUCCAUCUAAAAACUCCUCCCGCCAAGAUCUCCGGGGACCGAGAGAACAAUCUGAGCCGAGAGGAACUCACUCGGAUGCAAUUGCAAGUUUGGUGCCUUCAUUACCGGAUUUUAAGAUCAGAGGAAAACAUUGAUCCCAGAACCUUGCAAUGCCUGGAGAUUUUCUAGAAGAAGGAGGCACAAAAGGCUCUUGCAUNCUAUUUUAAAAAGGAGAAGGAGGGUAGAAGAAGAACAGCCCAAGUUUCUAUUUAUGAAACGUUCAUCUCUUUUUGCUGCCUUGCAAUGCUGGGUCAAAACUGCCCACCCUAGGAACGCGGCUGCUCUCCCCACCUCUGAAAACUGUCAUUCGGGUUGCCACACCACCUAUGAUUUGAACUCCCUGCCAAAUGCCUUCGGUGUGCUGGGCAACCAUCUACAGGUGAGAGAUCCUGCAGAGAAAAGGCUGUCAUAAAACCCUGGCGUCCUUACACUGCUCUAACUGGGCCCAAUUACAGAAAACUACAGUAUUUACAAAACAGGAGUCACCAGCCUGUAGAAAUUUACAGCCAAGAGGGCGCAAAAGAUGAUUUAAUUUCUUGACAUCUUCUGGGACUGGUUGUCGUCCGUCACUCAUAUGGAUGGCUCUUAUUGUUUGCGCAGUGACAGGCAGAGGGGCAAACAAGAUUGGUUUAUCUGUCCAUACAGCGUUGUAUUCCAUUGCCAUUGAAGUUUCCAUGUUAGAACGUGGUGGUUUCACAGC
RNAcentral lists this long non-coding RNA (1059 nucleotides) under Salvator merianae (Argentine black and white tegu). Its description in RNAcentral is "lncRNA (ENSSMRG00000020298.1)". The record is from RNAcentral. Lineage: Eukaryota; Metazoa; Chordata; Lepidosauria; Squamata; Teiidae.